GGUGAACGCUGGCGGUAGGCCUAACACAUGCAAGUCGAACGGCAGCACAGUAAGAGCUUGCUCUUACGGGUGGCGAGUGGCGGACGGGUGAGGAAUACAUCGGAAUCUACUUUUUCGUGGGGGAUAACGUAGGGAAACUUACGCUAAUACCGCAUACGACCUACGGGUGAAAGCAGGGGAUCUUCGGACCUUGCGCGAUUGAAUGAGCCGAUGUCGGAUUAGCUAGUUGGCGGGGUAAAGGCCCACCAAGGCGACGAUCCGUAGCUGGUCUGAGAGGAUGAUCAGCCACACUGGAACUGAGACACGGUCCAGACUCCUACGGGAGGCAGCAGUGGGGAAUAUUGGACAAUGGGCCCAAUCCUGAUCCAGCCAUACCGCGUGGGUGAAGAAGGCCUUCGGGUUGUAAAGCCCUUUUGUUGGGAAAGAAAAGCAGCAGGUUAAUACCCCGCUGUUCUGACGGUACCCAAAGAAUAAGCACCGGCUAACUUCGUG
Molecule: ribosomal RNA, 492 nt
Filed under: uncultured bacterium
Lineage: Bacteria
Description: partial 16S ribosomal RNA
Rfam family: Bacterial small subunit ribosomal RNA
Source: RNAcentral